This 519-nucleotide long non-coding RNA is filed under the name Phoenix dactylifera (date palm). Its description in RNAcentral is "long non-coding RNA (PDAC_LNC000747)". The record is from RNAcentral. Lineage: Eukaryota; Viridiplantae; Streptophyta; Magnoliopsida; Arecales; Arecaceae.
GAUGUCGGAUUUCUAGUAUUUAUUUAUGAAACUAAUAGUAUACUUCAAAAAAAUGCAUUAUUUAAAAAUUAUUUUUUUAAUUAAUAUUUUGUGCUUUUAACUAAUUAUUUGGCAUGCUGGACCCCACUUUGGGGUGUUAUGUUGUUUACUGGGCUAGUGUAGCUCAUUAUUAUAUUUUUUCUAUUUUUCAGAUCCAGAUGCAUGAUUGCUCGGGACUUGAGGAGCGCGUUAGUUCUUUUGAAAAUACUUUCAGUUAUUGGAGUUUUAGUCGGACUAGUUAGAAUAUUUUAUUUGAUUUAUGUUAAUAGUUAGCAAAUGUUGACUUAUGUCACUUUGGAACUAUUGUAAAAUUUAUUUGGCUAAGUUCUUGAUUAAAUAAGUUUUUGGAAUUAUUGUUGCUUUGAUAUGCUCUGCAGCCUUGCAUGCUUGUAUAGUUUGCCAUACAGAUAUGCGAUGUUUGUUACGCUCUAGGUUUGGGGCAUGAUACGGGGCAUGGGAGGGGGUAACAAAAUAUACUAG